This 380-nucleotide ribosomal RNA is filed under the name uncultured eukaryote. Its description in RNAcentral is "partial 18S ribosomal RNA". It matches the Rfam family "Eukaryotic small subunit ribosomal RNA", at positions 592 to 976 of the family's 1831-position model. The record is from RNAcentral.
CAAUAGCGUAUAUUAAAGUUGUUGCAGUUAGAACGCUCGUAGUCGGAUUUCGGGGCGGGCCGACCGGUCUGCCGAUGGGUAUGCACUGGUCGGCGCGUCCUUCCUUCCGGAGACCGUCCCUACUCUUAACUGAGCGGGGGCGGGAGACGGGACUUUUACUUUGAAAAAAUCAGAGUGUUUCAAGCAGGCAGCUCGCUCUUGCAUGGAUUAGCAUGGGAUAAUGAAAUAGGACUUUGGUGCUAUUUUGUUGGUUUCGAACACCGAAGUAAUGAUGGGAAGGGACAGUCAGGGGCACUCGUAUUCCGCCGAGAGAGGUGAAAUUCUCAGACCAGCGGAAGACGAACCACUGCGAAAGCAUUUGCCAGGGAUGUUUUCACUGA